CUUCUCACCCCUCUCUGUUGCUUCUCUCCACUUCCUCACUUUACUGCAAGAGCUAGCAGAAAACUCUCCUCUGAUCACUUCAAACCCUCUCUUUUCCUCCCCCUUCUCCAGCAAAAACCCGUAAAUUCCCUUUGGAAAACUACCCUGUUGCUUCUCUCCACUCCAUCACUUUCCCACACGAGCCCUCUCUUUCUCUUCUUCUUAUCAUUUCUUCAUUCUAUUUCCCUUACUCAUCUCCUGCUCUCUUCUCUCUCAGCUGGUCUGCAAACAAGCUGGUUGGGAGAUUUAGGCUGCAGAAGCACGAACAGUGAAGCUGAAGGAGGGAAAGCUGUACACUUUAUGAGCAUAUCACAUUUUCACCUUCAAUCACAAGACUCAUUGUAGAGAAAAGGACUUUCAAGAGAUAACAAGGUAAGACAGACAUCCUCUUUUCUUCAUACCUUGCUUUUCUCUAACAGUGAGGGAUUUGAUGAAGGAUCCAGCUUUCCCCUUUAGGGAAAAUGAAAAUUUUAAUUUCCUACUCUAUCGUCACUUGUGAGUUGUGGCUUGAUUUGCAAAACUUUCAUCUCCAGAAAACAAGUAUUUGUUUUGUGUAAUGAAGUAUAGAACUAUUACUAAGGAAAUGCUACUCUGUCUCUGUAUUCAUGAAGAAGGUCAACUCUGUCUCUGUAUUCAUUAAAAAGGCCAAUUGGUUAACCAUAUUAAUACAUAACUCCUUGAUA
Macadamia integrifolia is the source of this 722-nucleotide long non-coding RNA. RefSeq lists it as uncharacterized. Lineage: Eukaryota; Viridiplantae; Streptophyta; Magnoliopsida; Proteales; Proteaceae. The transcript is spliced from 2 exons. The record is from RefSeq and is a predicted model, not a curated record.